This 581-nucleotide ribosomal RNA is filed under the name Meyerozyma caribbica. RNAcentral describes it as "LSU rRNA". It matches the Rfam family "Eukaryotic large subunit ribosomal RNA", at positions 51 to 648 of the family's 3401-position model. Lineage: Eukaryota; Fungi; Ascomycota; Pichiomycetes; Serinales; Debaryomycetaceae. The record is from RNAcentral.
CGGAGGAAAAGAAACCAACAGGGAUUGCCUUAGUAGCGGCGAGUGAAGCGGCAAAAGCUCAAAUUUGAAAUCUGGCACCUUCGGUGUCCGAGUUGUAAUUUGAAGAUUGUAACCUUGGGGUUGGCUCUUGUCUAUGUUUCUUGGAACAGGACGUCACAGAGGGUGAGAAUCCCGUGCGAUGAGAUGCCCAAUCCUAUGUAAGGUGCUUUCGAAGAGUCGAGUUGUUUGGGAAUGCAGCUCUAAGUGGGUGGUAAAUUCCAUCUAAAGCUAAAUAUUGGCGAGAGACCGAUAGCGAACAAGUACAGUGAUGGAAAGAUGAAAAGAACUUUGAAAAGAGAGUGAAAAAGUACGUGAAAUUGUUGAAAGGGAAGGGUUUGAGAUCAGACUCGAUAUUUUGUGAGCCUUGCCUUCGUGGCGGGGUGACCCGCAGCUUAUCGGGCCAGCAUCGGUUUGGGCGGUAGGAUAAUGGCGUAGGAAUGUGACUUUGCUUCGGUGAAGUGUUAUAGCCUGCGUUGAUGCUGCCUGCCUAGACCGAGGACUGCGAUUUUAUCAAGGAUGCUGGCAUAAUGAUCCCAAACCGC